AGUGGAUCUGGAAUGGCCUAAGCCUUGCUAUAUCAAGCUUUUCUAGAGACAGAUUCUAAUCUGCAUGCUUAUGGUUAAAGGAGGCAUUGUAAUAUGGCACAUGACCAAGAAAGCACCCUCAGCCUGUUUCUUCAGGAGUGUCAGAGUUCUCAGGACAUCACGGGGAAGCACAGGAUCUACAGUGACUACAAUAACCAAGUGCUACAAAAACGCUGUGACGAGGAAUCUGAACAACAGAGAUUUGAGGGAAACAAAACACUUUCGACGAAGGUCCUGCUGCUUGUCUUCAGCUUGGUACCAAUUAGAGCUUCACUGGAGGUGAAAAGACAUUGACAGAAAGAACAUUAAUAAGAACAGAGAAGCAGAGAAGCCUUGGAAAUCAUGCUUUUAUCUGAAUGGAGGAAGAAAUAAAAGGAGAGGUAAAAUGAAAUCUUGCCACACUGCAUGCUCCCUCUUCUCUUUGUUCCUGUCCAUUUCUAAUAUUAAAAUAAGAACCUUUCUUAACUAA
RNAcentral lists this long non-coding RNA (508 nucleotides) under Homo sapiens (human). Its description in RNAcentral is "long intergenic non-protein coding RNA 378". Lineage: Eukaryota; Metazoa; Chordata; Mammalia; Primates; Hominidae. The record is from RNAcentral.